GAUGAACGCUGGCGGCGUGCCUAAUACAUGCAAGUCGAGCGAACAGACGAGGAGCUUGCUCCUCUGACGUUAGCGGCGGACGGGUGAGUAACACGUGGAUAACCUACCUAUAAGACUGGGAUAACUUCGGGAAACCGGAGCUAAUACCGGAUAAUAUAUUGAACCGCAUGGUUCAAUAGUGAAAGACGGUUUUGCUGUCACUUAUAGAUGGAUCCGCGCCGCAUUAGCUAGUUGGUAAGGUAACGGCUUACCAAGGCAACGAUGCGUAGCCGACCUGAGAGGGUGAUCGGCCACACUGGAACUGAGACACGGUCAAGACUACUACGGGAGGCAGCAGUUGGGAAUCUUCCGCAAUGGGCGAAAGCCUGACGGAGCAACGCCGCGUGAGUGAUGAAGGUCUUCGGAUCGUAAAAAUCUGUUAUUAGGGAAGAACAAAUGUGUAAGUAACUAUGCACGUCUUGACGGUACCUAAUCAGAAAGCCACGGCUAACUACGUG
This 497-nucleotide ribosomal RNA is filed under the name uncultured bacterium. RNAcentral's name for it is "partial 16S ribosomal RNA". It matches the Rfam family "Bacterial small subunit ribosomal RNA", at positions 28 to 507 of the family's 1533-position model. The record is from RNAcentral.